AACAGAUCUCCACAGUUGGAGCAUACAAUAGACCAGCUUUUAUUCAAAUUAGGGAAGCUCAAGUGUUUCGGCCCAUCUGCUGACAAUGGCCUCCUUGUAAAAACCCGAGCCCGUGGAGGAUCAGAAUUUAGGAAUGCGACUCAAGAAGAAGAGGCCCUCUUUCAGGGAGCUGCGGACUACACAGGCCAGAGCUGACGCCAUGAGCUGCAUCUUAAAUGAUUCAUUUGAGCAGUUUGGUCAUUGCGCCAAAGAACCAUUUUAGGGGGGGUAUAUGAGGGGCGUUAGUCAUGGGCAACAAUUCUCAAUAGUUCAACAUAACCCGCUUUUUCCCCUCGUAAAGUCGUGGCUGGCACCGCCCCCAUCCAACAACAAAGUCCUCUCUUUCCCGGCUCUAUAUGCUACCGCGGUUGUUUUUGGCCGAUUCCCUUAGACUUCCCCUUCCGCCCUCAAGGGAGGGGGCAGGAGCUCGCUCCAAGACCGAGGCCUGGUCCCGAGAAGCCUCGCCCCUGCCCACCGACUCACGCGGGGAGUGGGGGCGCCAGAAAAGGCCAAGCUUUAUAUCAGGCCAAGAACGCCCAAAUGGUCACGGACUGCAAAGGCGUCUGAGGACGCAGUUGGCGUCAGCAGCACGCUCUGGGCUGCUCCCGGCCAAGAACCUCCAUUUUGGAAAAAAGACCCAGACUCACCAUCCUUCAUUCUCCAGACUUUGAAUCACCAUGCUCUUGCACAGAAAUGACCAGCAGGAUGAAUACAGAGAGGAUUGGCGAGACUUACAUGAACUGAUGCUAAGUGAAAUGAGCAGAACCAGGAGAUCAUUAUAUACCUCAACAAUGAUACUGUAUGAGGAUGUAUUCUGAUGGAAUUGGAUUUCUUCAACAAAGAGCUCUAACUCAGUUUCAAUUGAUCAAGGAUGGACAGAAGCAGCUACACCCAAAGAAAGAACACUGGGAAACGAAUGUGAACUAUCUGCAUUUUUGUCCUCCUUCCCAGGUUAUUUUUACCUUCUGAAUCCAAUUCUUCCUGUACAAUAAGAGAACUGUUUGGUUCUGCACACAUAUAUUUUAUCUAGGAUACACUGUGAUAUAUUUAACUUGCAUAGGACUGCUUGCCAUCUGGGGGAGGGGGUGAAGAGAGGGAGGGGAAAAGUCGGAACAGAAGUGAAUGCAAGGGAUAAUGUUGUAAAAAAAAUUACCCAGGCAUGGGCUCUGUCAAUAAAAAGUUAUAAA
This is a long non-coding RNA of Antechinus flavipes (yellow-footed antechinus), 1226 nucleotides long. RefSeq lists it as uncharacterized. The transcript has 3 exons. Lineage: Eukaryota; Metazoa; Chordata; Mammalia; Dasyuromorphia; Dasyuridae. The record is from RefSeq and is a predicted model, not a curated record.